UGUGCUAGGUUGGGAUUUUGCGGUGCCCUGUAUCCACAAUCCGCAAUAGUGGAACCGAACGUCUUUCUCGGCUUGCUUUAUUGAAAGCCGCAUACUGUAAGGAGCGAUGAUAACAAGGUCUCAUCCAACGAACUACCGCGAACCGUGUCAGGUCAGGGAUGAAGCAGCACUAAACGGAGCUGUUCGUGUGCCAUGAGGUUGCUUUGUUGUAGCCACCUGCAGUGUUCCCG
This 230-nucleotide signal recognition particle RNA is filed under the name pig gut metagenome. Its description in RNAcentral is "Bacterial large signal recognition particle RNA". It matches the Rfam family "Bacterial large signal recognition particle RNA", at positions 3 to 231 of the family's 256-position model. From Rfam's summary of the family: The signal recognition particle (SRP) is a universally conserved ribonucleoprotein involved in the co-translational targeting of proteins to membranes. Archaeal SRP consists of a 7S RNA and homologues of the eukaryotic SRP19 and SRP54 proteins. In most bacteria, the SRP consists of a 4.5S RNA and the Ffh protein (a homologue of the eukaryotic SRP54 protein). The record is from RNAcentral.